Molecule: transfer RNA, 65 nt
Filed under: Curtos costipennis
Lineage: Eukaryota; Metazoa; Arthropoda; Insecta; Coleoptera; Lampyridae
Description: tRNA-Leu
Rfam family: tRNA
About the family: Transfer RNA (tRNA) molecules are approximately 80 nucleotides in length.
Source: RNAcentral
UUCUAAUAUGGCAGAAUAGUGCAAUGGUUUUAAGAUCCAUAAAUAAAGUUAUCUUUUUUUAGAAA